This 397-nucleotide ribosomal RNA is filed under the name uncultured bacterium. RNAcentral describes it as "partial 16S ribosomal RNA". It matches the Rfam family "Bacterial small subunit ribosomal RNA", at positions 523 to 918 of the family's 1533-position model. The record is from RNAcentral.
AUACGUAGGGGGCGAGCGUUGUCCGGAAUGAUUGGGCGUAAAGGGCGCGUAGGCGGCGCGAUAAGUCUGGAGUGAAAGUCCUGCUUUCAAGGUGGGAAUUGCUUUGGAUACUGCCGCGCUUGAGUGCAGGAGAGGUUAUCGGAAUUCCCGGUGUAGCGGCGAAAUGCGUAGAGAUCGGGAGGAACACCAGUGGCGAAGGCGGGUAACUGGACUGCAACUGACGCUGAGGCGCGAAAGUGUGGGGAGCAAACAGGAUUAGAUACCCUGGUAGUCCACACUGUAAACGAUGAAUGCUAGGUGUAAGAGGUAUCGACCCCUUUUGUGCCGGAGUUAACACAAUAAGCACUCCGUCUGGGGAGUACGGCCGCAAGGUUGAAACUCAAAUGAAUUGACGGGG